Molecule: ribosomal RNA, 466 nt
Filed under: uncultured bacterium
Lineage: Bacteria
Description: partial 16S ribosomal RNA
Rfam family: Bacterial small subunit ribosomal RNA
Source: RNAcentral
CGAACGCUGGCGGCGUGCUUAACACAUGCAAGUCGAACGGAAAGGCCCUGCUUUUGUGGGGUGCUCGAGUGGCGAACGGGUGAGUAACACGUGAGUAACCUGCCCUUGACUUUGGGAUAACUUCAGGAAACUGGGGCUAAUACCGGAUAGGAGCUCCUGCUGCAUGGUGGGGGUUGGAAAGUUUCGGCGGUUGGGGAUGGACUCGCGGCUUAUCGGCUUGUUGGUGGGGUAGUGGCUUACCAAGGCUUUGACGGGUAGCCGGCCUGAGAGGGUGACCGGCCACAUUGGGACUGAGAUACGGCCCAGACUCCUACGGGAGGCAGCAGUGGGGAAUAUUGCACAAUGGGCGGAAGCCUGAUGCAGCAACGCCGCGUGCGGGAUGACGGCCUUCGGGUUGUAAACCGCUUUCGCCUGUGACGAAGCGUGAGUGACGGUAAUGGGUAAAGAAGCACCGGCUAACUACGUG